GAAAUGCGAUAACUAGUGUGAAUUGCAGAAUUCCGUGAAUCAUCGAGUCUUUGAACGCACAUUACGCCCCCUGGUAUUCCGGGGGGCAUGCCUGUCCGAGCGUCAUUGCUGCCCAUCAAGCACGGCUUGUGUGUUGGGUCGUCGUCCCCUCUCCGGGGGGGACGGGCCCCAAAGGCAGCGGCGGCACCGCGUCCGAUCCUCGAGCGUAUGGGGCUUUGUCACCCGCUCUGUAGGCCCGGCCGGCGCUUGCCGAACGCAAAUCAAUCUUUUUCCAGGUUGACCUCGGAUCAGGUAGGGAUACCCGCUGAACUUAAGC
Molecule: unclassified non-coding RNA, 316 nt
Filed under: plant metagenome
Description: partial contains 5.8S ribosomal RNA, internal transcribed spacer 2, and large subunit ribosomal RNA
Rfam family: 5.8S ribosomal RNA (bases 1-105)
Source: RNAcentral